Molecule: long non-coding RNA, 216 nt
Filed under: Gossypium barbadense (sea-island cotton)
Lineage: Eukaryota; Viridiplantae; Streptophyta; Magnoliopsida; Malvales; Malvaceae
Description: long non-coding RNA (GBAR_LNC000597)
Source: RNAcentral
AUGCAGCAGGCAGCACUGGUGGUGGGCCUGCCACAGGUGGCACCGAUGGUGUCAGUGGCAGAGGCCUUUUGUUUUUUCUGUGUUUGGGAUCAUAUAUUAUGGUCCCCAACUUUAUUUCGAGAAGGAAGAAGGAGAAGAAAAAAAGAAAAAAGAGAAGAAAAAAAGAAGAGAAGAAGAAGAAGGAGAAGACGGAGAAGGAGGUAGCACUGGUGAGGG